CAGCAAACUACUUAGCCAAGUUUUUUUAUUUUUCUUGGAGACGGGUAAGGAGUUUUGGGCUUUGUUUAAACUGAUUUUGGUAGCGCCAGAACCGUCGCCAUCAUUCAGUGCCUCUCCAAUUGGGAACCCUUCCACUGGCACUCCUGCCUCUCCAAUUGAAAAUCUUCUUCUGGUGCCUGGUCCCUGCCGCUUGCUGAGUCGCAUCAAUCAGUGCCCCAAAAGGCACGGCAGACAGAUAUACAGACAGAUGGAGGAGACCGCGGAAACCGAGAGAGAUUCAAAACGAGAGAUCCGAGGCUAAGAGAACCGCAACAUAAAAGCCUAAUGAUCUCCAGCCUCAAGAUUGAGUUACAUGCAUCCGAAUCUCUUGCGAUCUCUGGCUCGUUCUCUCUCUGUCUCUCUGUGGAUAUUCCCUACCUCCCUAGCUCCUCCACAGCUUCAUCGCUCCAUCCACCACCUCUCAACAGUUAAUCACGAACUCUGGGCCAAAAGAAUGCCGGAUUAAGGCGGCGUCUCCCCCAAACACCCCAUCCCCACCACACAACUUGACUGGAACCAGUUUUUAUGGAGCGCCGGCUUCAAAGUUGUCUGUCGAUUGUUUGUGAUGCUGAAAGAAGGAGAGGAAAUACCCUCCGAUUGAGUGUGCAGUAUGUGGGUAAGCCCCACGCCAUUUGCAUUGAAGGAUAAACUGCAUUGAAGCAGUCCAUUCAGAGUCCUAUCUUGUGGGGGUAAAUAA
Molecule: long non-coding RNA, 736 nt
Organism: Drosophila obscura
Lineage: Eukaryota; Metazoa; Arthropoda; Insecta; Diptera; Drosophilidae
Exons: 3
Source: RefSeq, a predicted model, not a curated record